RNAcentral lists this ribosomal RNA (433 nucleotides) under uncultured bacterium. RNAcentral describes it as "partial 16S ribosomal RNA". It matches the Rfam family "Bacterial small subunit ribosomal RNA", at positions 28 to 507 of the family's 1533-position model. The record is from RNAcentral.
GACGAACGCUGGCGGCAUGCCUAACACAUGCAAGUCGAACGAGACCUUCGGGUCUAGUGGAGCCAGGGUGCUUAACGCGUGGGAACCUGCCCUUCGGUUCGGAAUCACUCCCCGAACGGUGUGCUAAUACCGGAUAAUGUCUUCUGACCCAAGAUUUCUCGCCUGUGGAUGGGCCCGCGUUGGAUUAGCUAGUUGGUAGGGUAAAAGCCUACCAAGGCCACGAUCCAUAGCUGGUCUGAGAGGAUGAUCAGCCACACUGGGACUGAGACACGGCCCAGACUCCUACGGGAGGCAGCAGUGGGGAAUAUUGGACAAUGGGCGAAAGCCUGAUCCAGCAAUGCCGCGUGAGGGAUGAAGGCCUUAGGGUUGUAAAGCUCUUUUAGCCGGGAUGAAAAUGACAGUACCGGGAGAAUAAGCUCCGGCUAACUCCGUG